Molecule: unclassified non-coding RNA, 17 nt
Filed under: Mus musculus (house mouse)
Lineage: Eukaryota; Metazoa; Chordata; Mammalia; Rodentia; Muridae
Description: oocyte_clustered_small_RNA7080
Source: RNAcentral
ACUACAGCUGCGUGGUG